This 1535-nucleotide long non-coding RNA is filed under the name Sus scrofa (pig). RNAcentral describes it as "lncRNA (ENSSSCG00070028732.1)". The record is from RNAcentral. Lineage: Eukaryota; Metazoa; Chordata; Mammalia; Artiodactyla; Suidae.
GGCAUAUUGAAGUUCCCAGGCUAGGGGUCAAAUCGCAGCUGCAGGCCUAUGCCACAGCCAUAGCCACACAGGAGUCGAGCCUUGUCUGCAACCUACACCACAGCUCACAGCAGUGCUGGAUCCCCAACCCCACUGAGCAAGGCUAGGGAUCAGACCUGCGUCCUGAUGGAUACUAGACAGAUUUGUUUGCACUGAGCAACUAAUAUACUAGACAGAUGGAUACUAGAUGGAUACUAGACAGAUUUGUUUGCACUGAAUAACUAAUAUCUACUCCAUGUUUUGAUUUACUUUUUAAAAACAAACUUACGUCAGCUGGCAUGGAGUGGAUAAGAGAGAAUUCCGGACUGAUAACGGUUCUGCUGGCGCUGACGCAUCUGUCCAGCUCUGGCCUCAGCCCCCUCUGGUCCCAGCCCCACCCCCCUUUAUCUAGAACUUUAGAGUUUCCUGCUCACUUUUCACCCCCUGUCUCAUACUCAUCUGCCUCUCAGCAUGUACCAAGUGAAGCCAGGGGGAGGUGGGAUCCGUCUGUUAAGGGCCAGACCAGGUUCCAGGGCUCAAGUGAUUUGCUCAAGGUCACCAGGGUGGAGUCUUGAACCUGGGCUGUCUAACCCCCCCUGCAUAAGAAGUGCUGGCUUCCUCCUCUGGUCUCCCAGGAGGCAGGUCCUGAGACGCUGGCUGGGAUGUGGUCUAUAGGAACCCUGGCUGGCUCUAAGGAGAAAAGAGGGAACGGUCCCUGUCUAGGAGAGGUGGCCCUGGGGGAGGGGGCAUUCCUCCCUGAAGCCAUCCCUCCUAGGUCUUCCCCCGCUUCCUCAGACCCUAGCAAAGGAGGGAGAGGGACAGGCUGGCGGUCUGGUCUGGAGAAAGAGAAAGAGGAUAAGAAGGAGAGUCAGAGACACAGGGGGACAGAGAGGAGAGAGGGACACAUGGACAGAGAUAGGGAGCGACAGAGGUACAGAGACAAGCUGUCAGACGCAGAGGCAGACACACAGAGAAGGGCAGACAAAACAGAGGGCGCGAGAAACACGGCCCCAAAGAGACACAGGAGGAAGUUGGCCGAAGAUAAAGACACUCACAACGAGACGCGCACAGGGACGGAAUCGGAACCCGAGCUCGCGGAACGAGAGGCGGACGGCCGCACGGGGAAGCCUGGAGGAAAGAGAGCCCGGGAAGCCAGAGAACCCCGCGUGUGGCGGGAGCCCAGCCCGGGCGCCGGAAGGGAGAGGGUGCCCCGCCUCCCGGCAGGGGGCGCUCUGGCCCCGCGGGCAGGGCUCGGCGGGGGGUGUGCGGGGAGGGCCCCGGCCAGCCGGGGGCGGGGGCGGGGGCGGGAGCGGGGGCGGGGGAGGGCUGCCCCGGCCGCGUUCGGGCCCCGCGGCCGCCUUUAUAAGCCUGCGGGGGAGGUGGCCUCGGCAGCGUCGCGCUCCCGCCACUCCGCGCCACCGGACCCGUGCACCGACUCCACAUCACUUCUGCCAGGACAGUCCUUCACCCACGAGCUCUUUGCAGGUGAAGAAACUGGUCCUGGAGAGGGGAGGUGA